This 1788-nucleotide ribosomal RNA is filed under the name human gut metagenome. RNAcentral describes it as "bacterial LSU rRNA". It matches the Rfam family "Bacterial large subunit ribosomal RNA", at positions 1131 to 2925 of the family's 2925-position model. The record is from RNAcentral.
UGCGUAACAGCUCACUGGUCGAGUGGACAUGCGCCGACAAUACACGGGGCUAAGCAUGGCGCCGAAGCGGCGGACUAAAUCAUUUAGUGGUAGGGGAGCUUCCCCGGGGGGGAGAAGCCGGAGGGCGACCUCCGGUGGACCGCCGGGGAGUGAGAAUGCUGGCACGAGUAGCGAGAGCGGGGCGAGAAACCCCGCCGCCGCAAGCCCAAGGUUUCCUGGGCGAUGCUAAUCAUCCCAGGGUCAGCCGGGAGCUAAGGCGAGGCCGAGAGGCGCAGCCGAUGCGCAGCUGGCAGACAUUCCAGCGCCGCUCCCGCGCCGCUACGACCGAAGGGGCGACGGAGAAGGGCAGCCGGGCGGGGUUCUGGACGUCCCCGUGAAAGCGCGUAGGGGGCAGGGCAUGGAAAUCAGCCCUGCACGUGCCCCGAGACGCGAGACGAAGCCUCCAUGGCGAAGCCGGUCAUCCCAUGCUCCCGAGAAAAACCCCUAGGCAGGCGCGGGCGCGCCCGUACCAAGACCGACACAGGUGGGCGGGUAGAACAUACCGAGGCGAUCGGGAGAACCAUGGUCAAGGAACUCGGCACACUGGCCCCGUAACCUAGGGAGAAGGGGCGCCCCCCGGCGUGAAGGAGCUUUGCCUCCGGAGCGCGGGGGGGCCGCAGCGAAACGGCCCAAGCGACUGUUUACCAAAAACACAGGACUCUGCCAAGCCGCGAGGCGAAGUAUAGGGUCUGACGCCUGCCCGGUGCCGGAAGGUUACGCGGAUGCGUUAGCAGCGAUGCGAGGCGCUGAAGCCAAGCCCCGGUAAACGGCGGCCGUAACUAUAACGGUCCUAAGGUAGCGAAAUUCCUUGUCGGGUAAGUUCCGACCUGCACGAACGGCGCAACGACUUGGGCGCUGUCUCGACCAUGGGCCCGGCGAAAUUGCAUUAUCCGUGAAGAUGCGGAUUCCCCGCGGAAGGACGGAAAGACCCCGUGAACCUUUACUGCAGCUUGGCAUUGGCCGCAGGCGCGGCGCGUAGAGGAUAGGCAGGAGGCUGCGAAGCCCGGGCGCCAGCCCGGGCGGAGCCGACCUUGGAAUACUGCCCCCGUCGCGUCGGCGGCCUAACCCGGGGACGGCCCGGGGACCGUGCCAGGCGGGCAGUUUGACUGGGGCGGUCGCCUCCCAAAGAGUAACGGAGGCGCGCGCAAGGUCCGCUCAGGACGGUCGGCAACCGUCCGCGGAGCGCAAGAGCACAAGCGGGCCUGACUGCGAGGCAGACAAGCCGAGCAGGGACGAAAGUCGGCUCUAGUGAUCCGGCGGCCCCGAGUGGAAGGGCCGUCGCUCAACGGAUAAAAGGUACUCCGGGGAUAACAGGCUGAUCUUGCCCAAGAGUCCACAUCGACGGCAAGGUUUGGCACCUCGAUGUCGGCUCAUCGCAUCCUGGGGCUGAAGUAGGUCCCAAGGGUUGGGCUGUUCGCCCAUUAAAGCGGUACGCGAGCUGGGUUCAGAACGUCGUGAGACAGUUCGGUCCCUAUCCUCCGCGGGCGCAGGAGAAUUGAGGAGGGCUGCCCCUAGUACGAGAGGACCGGGGCGGACGGGCCUCUGGUGUCCCGGUUGUCGACCAACGGCACGGCCGGCUAGCCACGCCCGGAACGGAUAACCGCUGAAGGCAUCUAAGCGGGAAGCCGUCUCCGAGAUGAGUUCUCCCUUCGGUAAGCCCCCAUGUAGAACACGUGGUCGAUAGGCCGCAGCUGCAAGCGCCGCGAGGCGUUCAGGCGAGCGGUACUAAUAGGGCGAGCCCUUGCACCC